Molecule: long non-coding RNA, 670 nt
Organism: Bactrocera dorsalis (oriental fruit fly)
Lineage: Eukaryota; Metazoa; Arthropoda; Insecta; Diptera; Tephritidae
Exons: 3
Source: RefSeq, a predicted model, not a curated record
ACAUAUUUUCGUCAUUUUAUUUUUAGGCUUGAGGUAGAGGUAGAGUUGACUGAGACUAAUGGGAUGACGAAGCGUAGGACUUAGCGGCAGAAGUCAAAUCGAAUCAGUAAACGGCGGAAGCUUUUACUUUAUUUUAUAAAUAUUAAAGUAUUUUGGCAUUAGAAUGGUAGCCGAUUGUAAGUGAAUUUGAUGCCAACCAAUAACCAAUGACCACCUUAUAAUGUAUCAUUGGUAAUAUCAUUCUCAUCAACAGUUUUAUUUUUUGCUUGCUGAAAGAGGACAACAGUAGAUUACCACUAAGGUGACCCAAUAUUCGAAAAUAUGUAAGCUUCGUGGAGCUCUUUUUACAAAUAUACGCUUUUUUAGAUUAGAAAAUAUUUGAAAAUGGGUAUUACAUUAAAACAAUAAGUAAAUUUUUGGAAAGACCCAUACGUAAUUGUCGUCGAAAAUAAAGAUUCAACAGAAUUCAGAGAGAUCCAGCUGUUUCUACUAAAUUGUCUUUUUGCAUUUAAGUUUCCAUUACAUUUGUUUCAAACGGUUGAGACAAUUACAAACUGGUGGUUGAAACUAGUGGUUGACACACGAGGACGUGGCCAUCAAUAGGCCUAUUGCCUUCCCAAUAAAAUGGUUAAUAUAUGCAUAUAUAAAAUUUUUAUGUUUCUAGAAUAAU